ACAUGCAAGUCGAGGGGCAGCAUAUCGAAGCUUGCUUGAUAGAUGGCGACCGGCGCACGGGUGCGUAACACGUAUCCAAUCUACCCAUGGCUCAGGGAUAGCCUUUCGAAAGAAAGAUUAAUACCUGAUGGUUUCAUGAUUCCGCAUGGACUUAUGAAUAAAAAUUUAUCGGCGAUGGAUGAGGAUGCGUCCGAUUAGCUUGUUGGCGGGGUAACGGCCCACCAAGGCGACGAUCGGUAGGGGCUCCGAGAGGAGGAUCCCCCACAUUGGAACUGAGACACGGUCCAAACUCCUACGGGAGGCAGCAGUGAGGAAUAUUGGUCAAUGGGCGAGAGCCUGAACCAGCCAAGUAGCCGUGCAGGAUGACGGCCCUAUGGGUUGUAAACUGCUUUUGUAUGGGAAUAAAGUGAGGGACGUGUCCCUUUUUGUAUGUACCAUAAGAAUAAGGACCGGCUAAUUCCGUGCCAGCCGCCGC
RNAcentral lists this ribosomal RNA (475 nucleotides) under uncultured bacterium. RNAcentral describes it as "bacterial SSU rRNA". It matches the Rfam family "Bacterial small subunit ribosomal RNA", at positions 53 to 518 of the family's 1533-position model. The record is from RNAcentral.